AGUGAAGAUAGAGGUGCAGGCCUCAAGAGUAAAAGCCCGGAGAAUGAUGAGAUUCCGGGAAGGGCUUUGAAAGGGAUGUCUGCCGAAGUGGGGAAAGGCUCAUAGCUUUUCUCGCUGGUUCUGUACUGAAGAAGUGCAGGACUGUCAAGAUCUUGUGUCUUGGAGGGCUAUCUCACUG
Molecule: non-coding RNA, 178 nt
Filed under: Bacillus sp. (in: firmicutes)
Lineage: Bacteria; Bacillati; Bacillota; Bacilli; Caryophanales; Bacillaceae
Also listed under: 1 other name
Description: Bacillus sp. Lysine sequence
Rfam family: Lysine riboswitch aptamer
About the family: Riboswitches are metabolite binding domains within certain messenger RNAs that serve as precision sensors for their corresponding targets. Allosteric rearrangement of mRNA structure is mediated by ligand binding, and this results in modulation of gene expression.
Source: RNAcentral